UAACUUUCCAAAACGAAAAGGAAAGCGACGUUCAGUCGUCGGCUGGUCAACACUCAGCAACAAGCUCAGCUGCUGCUGCGUUGCAUUCGAAAGAAGAAAAGCAUGUCGUUUUUUCGUAAACUCUUGAAAUGGCUUCUUGGUGGUGAAGAUGAGCAUGAAUGUUAUUAUGGUGAAUAUGUGCCUGAAUUUUGUUAUGAUUGUUACAAUCAGCUUCCCGAAUUACACGAUCGUGAUUAUCGUUACGAUACUUCCCACAGAUACCUCUUGCCACCCCCUAAACCCCCAUCAAUUCCAUCUAAACCAGUCCUGUCUCCCUUUAAUCCACCAUCAUCUUCCCCUAAACCUCCUACAUUGUGUAGAAAACCGCAAUCUUCUUCACUCAGAUACA
Molecule: non-coding RNA, 388 nt
Organism: Prunus avium (sweet cherry)
Lineage: Eukaryota; Viridiplantae; Streptophyta; Magnoliopsida; Rosales; Rosaceae
Source: RefSeq, a predicted model, not a curated record